AGCUUAAAUAAUUUAUAAUAAAAUAUUGAUUUUGUAAAUCAAAAAUAAGGUACCCCUUUUUAAGC
RNAcentral lists this transfer RNA (65 nucleotides) under Agrilinae sp. 2 ACP-2013. RNAcentral describes it as "tRNA-Thr". Lineage: Eukaryota; Metazoa; Arthropoda; Insecta; Coleoptera; Buprestidae. The record is from RNAcentral.